GUGUGCGUGUGUGUAUAUACGAUCGAUCAGGGACAGAGGGUGAGAUGAAACCCUAGUUUCACCAAAAUCCAUCAAAUUGAAGGGGGAUUGAAGGGCUAAACUAAUGCAUGAACCAAGAUUUUUGAUCACUUUAGCGUUUCUACCAUCAUGUAAGUCGAAUUUUGGAACGUGUCAAGGAGAGGUCAAGCAUAGGAGGAUAACGGGUCAAGAUAAGGCAAGGUGACAAAUACACUUAUUGGAGUACUCGAGGUAAGUGAAUUUCGAUUCACUUUUUAGUAGGUUUAAUAGAUUUUAAUACUUAUGUUUACGAAACAUCAUGAAAGAACAUGUAAUAAUCAGAAGUACAAAGCCAAUAAUGCCUCAUUAUUGAAGAAGGUUGUAUUUAAGCCGAAAGUAAAUUGGUGGGUUCAAACGGGUCGAAUUUUAUGUGCAUAUGUUGCGUAAUGUAAUGAAAUUCGUUAUGGUUAAGACCUUGGGUAAGAAUUUUUAGUCAUUAUGUAAGGGGAACAUUUCCCGGACCAUUAGGAACAAGUUUUAUACGAUUCGGUUGUCGGUUAGUGAAUGAACAGAUUGUUUCGUGUUAGUGUAGGAAAUUUUAUAAGUGUAUGUGUAUAGGAAUCCAAAGGGCACGUGGGUUGAAUCAUAGAUUGUCUAUACUAUGUAAAGUUGUGAAUGUGACAUUCUGGCAUAAACCUACAUGUAAAAGAAGCUUGUGUAUAUAUUCGUGAUUAACUGAUUGUGCGUAGGAAGGAACAUUGGCAUGUAUGAAGGUACGCAUGUAUAUAUAUAAGUGUAUAUAUAUAUAUAUGUAUGUAUGUAUGAUAAUAAGUACGUAGGUGUGAAUGUAUGUGUGAAUGAAUGUUCAAUGCUUAAGACAUAUGCAUGAACGUUAUCAAAGUGUUAGAGUAUUUAUGGUUACUAAUGAUGUGCGUUGAGUUGGAAUGUAAUGUAGGUAUGGGAUCGUUGGCUUCAUGAAGAAAUGGAGCUGGAUUUGGAUAAGAGUAUUUAAGAAAGCGCUUGGACAAUUCCACGACUACUUUAUAGAAUGCUCUACGAAAUUCUAUUAUAUAGUUUAAUGUUGUAUGGUAUGUUAAUGACUAAUGGUUUGGUUGUACGUGGUGUCCACAGGUAUCGCUUGGGUUUUCUUUACAUUUAUUGAAGUGAAGCGGACAUAGUUCGAGUUGAGAGCAAGGAUUGUACGGGGUAGAAUGGUCACAUAGUGUAACUCAUAUAGGUUUUGAAGUAUUAAUGUUAUAAAACGUUAUAAAUCCGUUUUAAUGAAUAUAUGGCAUUUCGCAUUUGAACCUUCAUGUGUUUGAUAUGUCUAUUAAAGAACGAAAUUUUUGG
This 1347-nucleotide long non-coding RNA is filed under the name Helianthus annuus (common sunflower). Its description in RNAcentral is "hypothetical non coding rna". The record is from RNAcentral. Lineage: Eukaryota; Viridiplantae; Streptophyta; Magnoliopsida; Asterales; Asteraceae.